Molecule: ribosomal RNA, 696 nt
Filed under: uncultured beta proteobacterium
Lineage: Bacteria; Pseudomonadati; Pseudomonadota; Betaproteobacteria
Description: bacterial SSU rRNA
Rfam family: Bacterial small subunit ribosomal RNA
Source: RNAcentral
GAACGGCAGCACGGGUGCUUGCACCUGGUGGCGAGUGGCGAACGGGUGAGUAAUACAUCGGAACAUGUCCUGUAGUGGGGGAUAGCCCGGCGAAAGCCGGAUUAAUACCGCAUACGAUCUACGGAUGAAAGCGGGGGACCUUCGGGCCUCGCGCUAUAGGGUUGGCCGAUGGCUGAUUAGCUAGUUGGUGGGGUAAAGGCCUACCAAGGCGACGAUCAGUAGCUGGUCUGAGAGGACGACCAGCCACACUGGGACUGAGACACGGCCCAGACUCCUACGGGAGGCAGCAGUGGGGAAUUUUGGACAAUGGGCGAAAGCCUGAUCCAGCAAUGCCGCGUGUGUGAAGAAGGCCUUCGGGUUGUAAAGCACUUUUGUCCGGAAAGAAAUCCUUGGUUCUAAUAUAGCCGGGGGAUGACGGUACCGGAAGAAUAAGCACCGGCUAACUACGUGCCAGCAGCCGCGGUAAUACGUAGGGUGCGAGCGUUAAUCGGAAUUACUGGGCGUAAAGCGUGCGCAGGCGGUUUGCUAAGACCGAUGUGAAAUCCCCGGGCUCAACCUGGGAACUGCAUUGGUGACUGGCAGGCUAGAGUAUGGCAGAGGGGGGUAGAAUUCCACGUGUAGCAGUGAAAUGCGUAGAGAUGUGGAGGAAUACCGAUGGCGAAGGCAGCCCCCUGGGCCAAUACUGACGCUCAUGCA